RNAcentral lists this unclassified non-coding RNA (255 nucleotides) under plant metagenome. RNAcentral's name for it is "partial contains small subunit ribosomal RNA, internal transcribed spacer 1, and 5.8S ribosomal RNA". The stretch from base 1 to 54 matches the Rfam family "Eukaryotic small subunit ribosomal RNA", at positions 1778 to 1831 of the family's 1831-position model. The record is from RNAcentral.
GGAAGUAAAAGUCGUAACAAUGUCUCCGUUGGUGAACCAGCGGAGGGAUCAUUACCGAGUUCUUCUACUCCCAAACCCCUGUGAACUUAUACCUUUACUGUUGCUUCGGCGGGUUAACGCCCCGGAAGGCCCAAAAAGCCGCCGGAACCAGGCGCCCGCCGGGGGACCCAAACUCUUGUAUUUCUUACUUUGCAUGUCUGAGUGGAAUCAUAAACAAAUGAAUCAAAACUUUCAACAACGGAUCUCUUGGUUCUG